UUUUUCUAUAACCAGUGGAAAUGACCUCAGAACGCAGUGGAGUCAUCCACAGCUCAGCAACAUGAGAAGGACCAUAAAGCCAGGGCUCAGCAAACUAUGGCCCGUGGGCCAAGUCCAGUCUUCUGCCGGUUUCUGUACAGCCUGUUUUGAUGGAAAGUGCCCGCAGGUAUUUUGUCCUCCAGUCCCACCGAGGGAGCCAUCGGACAUAGGGCAGUGGGGGCGGGGGUGGAGGAUUCGUCUGAAAACCAGUAGAGUGCAGUUCUCAUGCAACACUUGUGCCCGUGGUCUUGUGUGUCACACCAGAGCUGGCAGACGCUGUUGAGCCCACUGUAACAUGGCCACAUGUCCAUGGUCCUAUCCGGCUGGUC
Hyaena hyaena (striped hyena) is the source of this 368-nucleotide long non-coding RNA. RefSeq lists it as uncharacterized. The record is from RefSeq and is a predicted model, not a curated record. The transcript is spliced from 3 exons. Lineage: Eukaryota; Metazoa; Chordata; Mammalia; Carnivora; Hyaenidae.